This 1297-nucleotide ribosomal RNA is filed under the name Tropidocephala sp. NS-2013. Its description in RNAcentral is "SSU rRNA". It matches the Rfam family "Eukaryotic small subunit ribosomal RNA", at positions 440 to 1668 of the family's 1831-position model. The record is from RNAcentral. Lineage: Eukaryota; Metazoa; Arthropoda; Insecta; Hemiptera; Delphacidae.
AUUACCCACUCCCGGCACGGGGAGGUAGUGACGAAAAAUAACGAUACGGGACUCAUCCGAGGCCCCGUAAUCGGAAUGAGUAUACUCUAAAUACUUGUACAAGUAUCAAUUGGAGGGCAAGUCUGGUGCCAGCAGCCGCGGUAAUUCCAGCUCCAAUAGCGUAUAUUAAAGUUGUUGCGGUUAAAAAGCUCGUAGUUGGAUCUGUGUCCUUCGACGCCGGUUCACCGCCUGUCGGUGCCAACUGGCGUUUUGCGGGACGUCCUGUCGGUGGCGCGCCAAGGGUCCUGGUCGUGUUUCAGGUUCACACCUGAAGCCGGCUCUGGUUCUGGGCCGCUUUCAUAAUCCCGUCCCGGUGCUCUUUACCGAGUGUCGAGGCGGGCCGGCACGUUUACUUUGAACAAAUUAGAGUGCUUCAAGCAGGCUCAUUAUGCCUAUAUACUGUGUGCAUGGAAUAAUGGAAUAGGACCUCGGUUCUAUUUUGUUGGUUUCCGGAAUCUGAGGUAAUGAUCAAUGGGGACGGGCGGGGGCAUUCGUAUUGCGACGUUAGAGGUGAAAUUCUUGGAUCGUCGCAAGACGGACCGAAGCGAAAGCAUUUGCCAAGUACGUUCCCGUCGAUCAAGAACGAAAGUUAGAGGUUCGAAGGCGAUCAGAUACCGCCCUAGUUCUAACCAUAAACAAUGCCUGCCAGCGAUCCGCCGGUGUCUUUUCUGAUGACCCGGCGGGCAGCUUCCGGGAAACCAGAGCUUUUGGGUUCCGGGGGAAGUAUGGUUGCAAAGCUGAAACUUAAAGGAAUUGACGGAAGGGCACCACCAGGAGUGGAGCCUGCGGCUUAAUUUGACUCAACACGGGAAAACUCACCAGGCCCGGACACCGGAAGGAUUGACAGAUUGAUAGCUCUUUCUUGAUUCGGUGGGUGGUGGUGCAUGGCCGUUCUUAGUUGGUGGAGCGAUUUGUCUGGUUAAUUCCGAUAACGAACGAGACUCUAGCCUACUAACUAGACGUAUCUGGUAUCAGCAUUCGUGCUACCAGCGAUCAUAUCUCUUCUUAGAGGGACAGGCGGCUUCUAGCCGCACGAGACUGAGCAAUAACAGGUCUGUGAUGCCCUUAGAUGUCCUGGGCCGCACGCGCGCUACACUGAAGGAAUCAGCGUGUCUUCCCUGUCCGAAAGGACCGGGUAACCCGCUGAACCUCCUUCGUGCUUGGGAUUGGGGCUUGCAAUUGUUCCCCAUGAACGAGGAAUUCCCAGUAAGCGCGAGUCAUAAGCUCGCGUUGAUUACGUCCCUGCCCUUUGUACACA